Gorilla gorilla gorilla (western lowland gorilla) is the source of this 66-nucleotide microRNA precursor. NCBI's taxonomy places the organism in Eukaryota, Metazoa, Chordata, Mammalia, Primates, Hominidae. The record is from Ensembl.
UGGUGCAAAAGUAAUUGCGGUUUUUGCCAUUGAAAGUAAUGGGAAAAACCGUGAUUACUUUGGCAC